This 1128-nucleotide ribosomal RNA is filed under the name Mycoplasma mycoides. RNAcentral's name for it is "partial 23S ribosomal RNA". It matches the Rfam family "Bacterial large subunit ribosomal RNA", at positions 1 to 1132 of the family's 2925-position model. The record is from RNAcentral. Lineage: Bacteria; Bacillati; Mycoplasmatota; Mollicutes; Mycoplasmatales; Mycoplasmataceae.
CUAAAAAAUAGUAAGAGCAUAUGGUGAAUGCCUUGGAAAAUGGAGCCGAAGAAGGACGUGACUACCUGCGAUAAGUCUGGGGGAGCUGGAAGUGAGCUUCGAUCCCGGAAUUUCCGAAUGGGGAAACCUGACAUGAUUUAUCUCAUGUUAUCUAUAAGUGAAUACAUAGCUUAUAAGAAGGGAACCUAGGGAACUGAAACAUCUUAGUACCUAGAGGAAAAGAAAAUAAUAAUGAUUCUGUUAGUAGCGGCGAGCGAAAGCGGAACAGGCCAAACCACUUUACGGAGUGGGGUUGUAGGACUUUUUUAAGAGUUAGAAAGUCAUUAUAUAAUAGAAGCUACUGGGAAGUAGCGCCAUAGAGGGUGAUAGCCCCGUAUAUGAAAUGUAAUGACCUCAAUAAAGUAUCCUGAGUACGGCGAAACACGUGAAAUUUUGUCGGAAUCUGCCAAGACCACUUGGUAAGCCUAAAUACUACCAUUUUACCGAUAGUGAACCAGUACCGUGAGGGAAAGGUGAAAAGCACCCCGAAAGGGGAGUGAAAUAGUCCCUGAAACCAUAUGCUUACAAGAAGGUAGAGCCCGUUAAUGGGUAAUACCGUGCUUUUUGUAGAAAGAGCCGGCGAGUUACUAUUGCAUGCAAGGUUAAGUUGAUAUAAACGGAGCCGUAGUGAAAGCGAGCCUUAAUAGGGCGUUUAGUAUGCAGUAGUAGACACGAAACCAGGUGAUCUAGCCAUGAGCAGGUUGAAGUUAGGGUAAAACCUAAUGGAGGACCGAACCAGUAUUCGUUGAAAAGACUUUGGAUGACUUGUGGCUAGCGGUGAAAUUCCAAUCGAACCUGGAGAUAGCUAGUUCUCCCCGAUAUAUCUUUAAGGAUAGCGUUGUGUGAAUUGUUGUGGAGGUAGAGCACUGAAUCUAUGAUGGCUGCACCUAGCGGUACUGAUUAGAAUUAAACUCCGAAUGCCAUAAUUUGUGCACAGCAGUCAGAACAUGGGUGAUAAGGUCCAUGCUCGUGAGGGAAACAGCCCAGAUCGUCAGCUAAGGUCCCUAAGUGUAAACUAAGUGUGUAAGGAUGUGGAACUGCACAGACAGCUAGGAUGUUGGCUUAGAAGCAGCCAUCAUUUAAAGAGUG